CCAAGUUGCCCCUCCCCCACUUCAGGACCACCCACGUUGAACACUACCUGUCAAAAUCUGAUUGAUAUAAGGGAGUACCUAUAAUCUCUAACGUUAACAGGUAGUUUGGACUCUGCUCAUUUUCAUGUUUGAUAAUAUUAUCAAACUAUAUAGCAGCCGUUCAACCGGGCUUUGUAAGGUUGGUGAAUAGUUCAUUAAAGGACAACACUGUGGAAUUCCCAGUACCAGUGUGGUUGCCAAAGCACGGAGUAGUGACUUUCCAAACCAUCCUGCAGCCAUACCCGUCUCGUCUCUGGACCAGCAAGAUGGCCACCACUGCACUGUGUCAUCAGCAGCGAUAAACAGAGGCGCAUAACUCUAUGCAUUGGCUCUUCUAAAGAAGAGUCUGUGGGUCCAGACUGGACGUGUGUGGUGGCACCAUACCAGGACUGUUGGAGGCGCCGUGUCGGUCCAAGACGACAACCGUGAAACAUCUGGUGGAGGCAGCUGGACCGGACUUGUCUAACGCCCAGGCCGUUGCAUCUCUGCUGGGGGUCCAGUCCACUAGACUUGUGCAGCGUUUCCUGGACCGUUUGAAGGAGAGGAUGAUGGCCGGAGAGAGGCGUCUCCUGCAGCUCCUCCAUGAAAAAAAGGCUUCGCCGGACCUGACAGACCCGGUCCCUGAUGUGACCCUGAACACCGGCCUCACAAAGAACAGCGGUCCCCUGCUAGCCAGCAAAGACUCACAGAUCAGCCUCCAGAGUACGGGCCCAAAAGUACUCUACAAAAACUGUCAAAGUCCUGAAUGAAAGAACUCUACAGAACAGACCAGUGAGCUUGUGGGCGGAUCGUCUGAGAGGACAAACUUCUCAGUGGAGGACGCUCUACAAAUUUCCCAUAAAAAAAACGGACUGGUGAUCUGCAAUGGAGGAUUUUACAUGGUGCCAUUGCUACCAAUUCGUUUUUAUCGGUUUUUAGUCCAAGGGUUUUAAAUGAGUGUCUUUUCAGUGGCCUGUCUGAGAGUGUUUUUCAUGUUUUUAUUGAUUGUAGGAGACUGACAUUUUUUAGUUUAUUGAUGAGUGUUUUUAGCUGUUUUGGCAUUGUUUUUACCAGUUCUAUAUUUAUUUAUGGACUGUGUUCUAACAAAGCCAACAAGCCAAAGUGCCAGAUUUUAAAUUUCUUAAUUGCAGAAGCCAAAAUGGCUAUUUUAUUUAUCUUGAAAAGACAGAUUCCAGGCUGGACCUCAUCUUGAUGCCUUGGCUCUGUGGAAGUGCAAUGUCAAGGCCAGGCAGACGCUGGAGUUUUGCUUCCACAGAGCCACUGGGAACCCCUGCAGCUAUGGGGUUUUAAUGAGAUUCUGUGCAAUAUAUCAACUCAGGGAAAACUGUUAUUUAACAAGCACCUUAUUUAAUUAUUUUUUAAGCUUGUCCUGAUGUGAAUAUCUUGUGUUUUUAAUUGUAUUCUAUGCACUUUCUUAUUGUAAAUAAAUGGCUUAGAUUAUCUUACACAAGAGCCUACAUUAGAAAUGUUUACACAGGUGGUAAAGACUAAUUCUUUCACUCCUUCAAAAGUAAGAUAUCUCCCAAAUCUUCUGUUUUUGUUUUGAAGAUUUCCUAAAGACACGAUGUGAGGAAGAAGUGUGAAAUAUCUUUUAAAGAGAGACGGAUUCACUGCACAGCAUGGAUGAAUCUCGCAUCGGAUUUUGGUCUCAAUCGCAGAUGCUGAAACACUCUUCAACUAGAAAUAAUAUAUAUAGGUUAUGCAUGU
Poecilia latipinna (sailfin molly) is the source of this 1746-nucleotide long non-coding RNA. RefSeq lists it as uncharacterized. The transcript is spliced from 3 exons. The record is from RefSeq and is a predicted model, not a curated record. Lineage: Eukaryota; Metazoa; Chordata; Actinopteri; Cyprinodontiformes; Poeciliidae.